This 253-nucleotide ribosomal RNA is filed under the name uncultured bacterium. RNAcentral's name for it is "partial 16S ribosomal RNA". It matches the Rfam family "Bacterial small subunit ribosomal RNA", at positions 524 to 776 of the family's 1533-position model. The record is from RNAcentral.
UACGGGGGGAGCAAGCGUUGUUCGGAUUUACUGGGCGUAAAGGGCGCGUAGGCGGCGCAACAAGUCGAUUGUGAAAUCUCCGGGCUUAACUCGGAGCGGCCAAUCGAUACUGUCGUGCUAGAGUGCGGAAGGGGCUACUGGAAUUCUCGGUGUAGCGGUGAAAUGCGUAGAUAUCGAGAGGAACACCUGCGGCGAAGGCGGGUAGCUGGGCCGACACUGACGCUGAGGCGCGAAAGCUAGGGGAGCAAACGGG